CCUACGGGUGGCAGCAGUGGGGAAUAUUGCGCAAUGGGCGAAAGCCUGACGCAGCGACGCCGCGUGAGGGAUGAAGGUCUUCGGAGCGUAAACCUCUGUCAGCAGGGAAGAACGGUCACUGUGCUAAUCAGCAGUGAAUUGACGGUACCUGCAAAGGAAGCACCGGCUCACUCCGUGCCAGCAGCCGCGGUAAUACGGCGGGUGCGAGCGUUAAUCGGAAUUACUGGGCGUAAAGCGCUCGGAGGCGGUAGGUCAAGUCACGGGUGAAAUCCCCGCGCUCAACGUGGGAACUGCCUUUGAAACUGGCAAACUGGAGUGUGUGAGAGGUUAGUGGAAUUCCAGGUGU
RNAcentral lists this ribosomal RNA (346 nucleotides) under uncultured bacterium. RNAcentral describes it as "partial 16S ribosomal RNA". It matches the Rfam family "Bacterial small subunit ribosomal RNA", at positions 338 to 676 of the family's 1533-position model. The record is from RNAcentral.